UUUAAAUUGAGAGUUUGAUCCUGGCUCAGGAUGAACGCUGGCGGCGUGCCUAAUACAUGCAAGUCGUACGCUAGCCGCUGAAUUGAUCCUUCGGGUGAAGUGAGGCAAUGACUAGAGUGGCGAACUGGUGAGUAACACGUAAGAAACCUGCCCUUUAGUGGGGGAUAACAUUUGGAAACAGAUGCUAAUACCGCGUAACAACAAAUCACACAUGUGAUCUGUUUGAAAG
RNAcentral lists this ribosomal RNA (229 nucleotides) under Oenococcus oeni. RNAcentral describes it as "partial 16S ribosomal RNA". It matches the Rfam family "Bacterial small subunit ribosomal RNA", at positions 1 to 207 of the family's 1533-position model. Lineage: Bacteria; Bacillati; Bacillota; Bacilli; Lactobacillales; Lactobacillaceae. The record is from RNAcentral.